Molecule: transfer RNA, 88 nt
Organism: Candidatus Profftella armatura
Lineage: Bacteria; Pseudomonadati; Pseudomonadota; Betaproteobacteria
Rfam family: tRNA
About the family: Transfer RNA (tRNA) molecules are approximately 80 nucleotides in length. Their secondary structure includes four short double-helical elements and three loops (D, anti-codon, and T loops).
Source: Rfam
GGAAGUGUGGCCGAGAGGUUUAAGGCACCAGUCUUGAAAACUGGCAACAGGUAAAACCGGUUCGUGAGUUCGAAUCUCACCACUUCCA